ACGAACGCUGGCGGCGUGCUUAACACAUGCAAGUCUUACGAGAAAGGGGUAGCAAUAUCCCGAGUAAAGUGGCGCACGGGUGAGUAACACGUAGGCAAUCUGCCUUUAGGACGGGGAUAAUCCAGCGAAAGUUGGACUAAUACCCGAUGAUGCAGCGGCACCGCAUGGUGACAGUUGUUAAAUCCCGUAAGGGGCCUAUUGACGAGCCUGCGUCUGAUUAGCUAGUUGGUGAGGUAACGGCCCACCAAGGCUACGAUCAGUAGCUGGUCUGAGAGGAUGAUCAGCCACACUGGAACUGAGACACGGUCCAGACUCCUACGGGAGGCAGCAGUGAGGAAUAUUGCGCAAUGGCCGAAAGGCUGACGCAGCGACGCCGCGUGAAGGAUGAAGUCCGUUAGGAUGUAAACUUCUUUUGCAGGGGAUGAAUGUUCCGGUUUCCGGAAUUGACCGUACCCUGCGAAUAAGGAUCGGCUAACUACGU
Molecule: ribosomal RNA, 481 nt
Filed under: uncultured bacterium
Lineage: Bacteria
Description: bacterial SSU rRNA
Rfam family: Bacterial small subunit ribosomal RNA
Source: RNAcentral